GAAAGAGGCUCGACAGCAACGAUGACUGCUAAUUUUCGCCACCCCUGUUAAACCCCGGGGCUCAUUCG
This 68-nucleotide transfer RNA is filed under the name Scriptaphyosemion schmitti. RNAcentral's name for it is "tRNA-Ser". The record is from RNAcentral. Lineage: Eukaryota; Metazoa; Chordata; Actinopteri; Cyprinodontiformes; Nothobranchiidae.